This 658-nucleotide ribosomal RNA is filed under the name uncultured fungus. Its description in RNAcentral is "eukaryotic LSU rRNA". It matches the Rfam family "Eukaryotic large subunit ribosomal RNA", at positions 23 to 664 of the family's 3401-position model. The record is from RNAcentral. Lineage: Eukaryota; Fungi.
ACCCGCUGAACUUAAGCAUAUCAAUAAGCGGAGGAAAAGAAACUAACAAGGAUUCCCCUAGUAACGGCGAGUGAAGCGGGAAGAGCUCAAAUUUAAAAUCUGGCGGCCUAAGGUCGUCCGAGUUGUAGUCUAGAGAAGUGUUUUCCGUGCUGGACCGUGUACAAGUCCCUUGGAACAGGGCGUCAUAGAGGGUGAGAAUCCCGUCUUUGACACGGACUACCAGUGCUCUGUGAUGCACUCUCGAAGAGUCGAGUUGUUUGGGAAUGCAGCUCAAAUCGGGUGGUAAAUUCCAUCUAAAGCUAAAUAUUGGCGAAAGACCGAUAGCGAACAAGUACCGUGAGGGAAAGAUGAAAAGCACUUUGGAAAGAGAGUUAAACAGUACGUGAAAUUGUUGAAAGGGAAACGCUUGAAGUCAGUCGCGUCUUGCGGGAUUCAGCCUUGCUUUGCCUGGUGUACUUCCUGUUUGACGGGCCAGCAUCAAUUUUGACCGUUGGAAAAAGGCUUUGGGAAUGUGGCACCUCCGGGUGUGUUAUAGCCCUUUGUCAUAUACAACGGUUGGGAUUGAGGACUGCAGCACGCCUUUAUGGCCGGGGUUCGCCCACGUAACGUGCUUAGGAUGCUGGCGUAAUGGCUUUAAGCGACCCGUCUUGAAACACGG